This 465-nucleotide ribosomal RNA is filed under the name Vreelandella stevensii. RNAcentral's name for it is "partial 16S ribosomal RNA". It matches the Rfam family "Bacterial small subunit ribosomal RNA", at positions 338 to 795 of the family's 1533-position model. The record is from RNAcentral. Lineage: Bacteria; Pseudomonadati; Pseudomonadota; Gammaproteobacteria; Oceanospirillales; Halomonadaceae.
CCUACGGGGGGCUGCAGUGGGGAAUAUUGGACAAUGGGCGAAAGCCUGAUCCAGCCAUGCCGCGUGUGUGAAGAAGGCCUUCGGGUUGUAAAGCACUUUCAGUGGGGAAGAAAGCCUUGGGGCUAAUACCCUCGAGGAAGGACAUCACCCACAGAAGAAGCACCGGCUAACUCCGUGCCAACAGCCGCGGUAAUACGGAGGGUGCGAGCGUUAAUCGGAAUUACUGGGCGUAAAGCGCGCGUAGGCGGUCUGAUAAGCCGGUUGUGAAAGCCCCGGGCUCAACCUGGGAACGGCAUCCGGAACUGUCAGGCUAGAGUGCAGGAGAGGAAGGUAGAAUUCCCGGUGUAGCGGUGAAAUGCGUAGAGAUCGGGAGGAAUACCAGUGGCGAAGGCGGCCUUCUGGACUGACACUGACGCUGAGGUGCGAAAGCGUGGGUAGCAAACAGGAUUAGAUACCCCUGUAGUC